AAAUGAAUAGACGGGGGCCCGCACAAGCGGAGGAGCAUGUGGUUUAAUUCGAUGAUACGCGAGGAACCUUACCUGGGUUAGAACGCAGAACGACGUUUCGGGAAACCGGAAUUCUCUUCGGAGCGAUCUGCGAGGUGCUGCAUGGUUGUCGUCAGCUCGUGCCGUGAGGUGUCGGGUUAAGUCCCAUAACGAGCGCAACCCCUAUUCUUAGUUGCCAUCAGGUAAUGCUGGGGACUCUAAGAAAACUGCCUACGCAAGUAGUGAGGAAGGCGGGGAUGACGUCAAAUCAGCACGGCCCUUAUGUCCAGGGCUACACACGUGCUACAAUGGCCGGUACAGAGGGCAGCCACCUGGUGACAGGGAGCAAAUCUCCAAAGCCGGUCUCAGUUCGGAUCGAAGUCUGCAACUCGACUUCGUGAAGUUGGAUUCGCUAGUAAUCGUAUAUCAGCAACGAUACGGUGAAUACGUUCCCGGGCCUUGUACACACCGCCCGU
RNAcentral lists this ribosomal RNA (494 nucleotides) under uncultured bacterium. Its description in RNAcentral is "bacterial SSU rRNA". It matches the Rfam family "Bacterial small subunit ribosomal RNA", at positions 903 to 1397 of the family's 1533-position model. The record is from RNAcentral.